Sinocyclocheilus anshuiensis is the source of this 94-nucleotide long non-coding RNA. RefSeq lists it as uncharacterized. NCBI's taxonomy places the organism in Eukaryota, Metazoa, Chordata, Actinopteri, Cypriniformes, Cyprinidae. The transcript is spliced from 3 exons. The record is from RefSeq and is a predicted model, not a curated record.
AUUACCUCAGUUUUUUUUUUUCUGACAAUGCUUCUGGCUUCCCUCAAGUCUGUGUGCAAAUAACAAUGUGACUUUCAUGAAUUUCUAUAGGUAA